Molecule: ribosomal RNA, 443 nt
Filed under: uncultured bacterium
Lineage: Bacteria
Description: partial 16S ribosomal RNA
Rfam family: Bacterial small subunit ribosomal RNA
Source: RNAcentral
UCUACGGGAGGCUGCAGUGGGGAAUAUUGGGCAAUGGGCGCAAGCCUGACCCAGCAACGCCGCGUGAAGGAAGAAGGCUUUCGGGUUGUAAACUUCUUUUCUGAGGGACGAAGAAAGUGACGGUACCUCAGGAAUAAGCCACGGCUAACUACGUGCCAGCAGCCGCGGUAAUACGUAGGGGGCAAGCGUUAUACGGAUUUACUGGGUGUAAAGGGGGCGCAGACGGCGAUGCAAGCCAGGAGUGAAAGCCCGGGGCCCAACCCCGGGACUGCUCUUGGAACUGCGUGGCUAGAGUGCAGGAGGGGCAGGCGGAAUUCCUGGUGUAGCGGUGAAAUGCGUAGAUAUCAGGAGGAACACCAGUGGCGAAGGCGGCCUGCUGGACUGCAACUGACGUUGAGGCCCGAAAGCGUGGGGAGCAAACAGGAUUAGAUACCCCAGUAGUC